UAUCUCCAACACUAAUUUGAUCACUCAAACUCUGGCUGGCUUGGAUUUUGACUACAAUGCUAUAGUUGUUCAAUUAUCUGACAGAAACGACUUGACUUUGAUUGAUAUGCAAGCACAACUCCUAGCAUUUGAGA
This is a small nucleolar RNA of Cajanus cajan (pigeon pea), 134 nucleotides long. It matches the Rfam family "Small nucleolar RNA Z247". From Rfam's summary of the family: Z247 is a member of the C/D class of snoRNA which contain the C (UGAUGA) and D (CUGA) box motifs. Most of the members of the box C/D family function in directing site-specific 2'-O-methylation of substrate RNAs. The record is from Rfam. NCBI's taxonomy places the organism in Eukaryota, Viridiplantae, Streptophyta, Magnoliopsida, Fabales, Fabaceae.